Molecule: ribosomal RNA, 483 nt
Filed under: Desulfobacterales bacterium
Lineage: Bacteria; Pseudomonadati; Thermodesulfobacteriota; Desulfobacteria; Desulfobacterales
Description: partial 23S ribosomal RNA
Rfam family: Bacterial large subunit ribosomal RNA
Source: RNAcentral
GCUCAACGGAUAAAAGGUACUCCGGGGAUAACAGGCUUAUCACGUCCAAGAGUUCAUAUCGACGACGUGGUUUGGCACCUCGAUGUCGGCUCAUCGCAUCCUGGGGCUGGAGCAGGUCCCAAGGGUUUGGCUGUUCGCCAAUUAAAGCGGUACGUGAGCUGGGUUUAGAACGUCGUGAGACAGUUCGGUCCCUAUCUUCUGUGGGCGCAGGAUAUCUGAGAGGAUCUUUCCCUAGUACGAGAGGACCGGGAUGGACGGACCUCUGGUGUUCCAGUUGUCGCGCCAGCGGCAUCGCUGGGUAUCUAUGUCCGGAUUGGAUAACCGCUGAAAGCAUCUAAGCGGGAAACCAGCCUCAAGAUAAGAUAUCCCUCUACUUCGGUAGACUGAAGACCCCUCGUAGACCACGAGGUUGAUAGGCCGGAUGUGUAAGCGCGGUAACGCGUUGAGCUAACCGGUCCUAAUCGGUCGUGAGGCUUGGCCAUA